CCUGCCUGUCGACUGUCAUAACUCCGGGAAACCGGGGCUAAUACCGGAUGCUUGUUUGAACCGCAUGGUUCAACAUAAAAGGUGGCUUCGGCUACCACUUACAGAUGGACCCGCGGCGCAUUAGCUAGUUGGUGAGGUAAUGGCUCACCAAGGCAACGAUGCGUAGCCGACCUGAGAGGGUGAUCGGCCACACUGGGACUGAGACACGGCCCAGACUCCUACGGGAGGCAGCAGUAGGGAAUCUUCCGCAAUGGACGAAAGUCUGACGGAGCAACGCCGCGUGAGUGAUGAAGGUUUUCGGAUCGUAAAGCUCUGUUGUUAGGGAAGAACAAGUACCGUUCGAAUAGGGCGGUACCUUGACGGUACCUAACCAGAAAGCCACGGCUAACUACGUGCCAGCAGCCGCGGUAAUACGUAGGUGGCAAGCGUUGUCCGGAAUUAUUGGGCGUAAAGGGCUCGCAGGCGGUUCCUUAAGUCUGAUGUGAAAGCCCCCGGCUCACCCGGGGAGGGUCAUUGGAAACUGGGGAACUUGAGUGCAGAAGAGGAGAGGGGAUUCCACGUGUAGCGGUGAAAUGCGUAGAGAUGUGAGGACACCAGUGGCGAAGCGACUUCUCUGGUCUGUACUGACGCUGAGGAGCGAAGCGUGGGGGAGCGACAGGAUUAGAUACCCUGUAGUCCACGCGUAACGAUGAUGGCUAGUGUUAGGGGUUUCCGCCCUUAUGCUGCAGCUACGCAUUAGCCCUCCGCUGGGGAGUACGUCGCAGACUGACUCAGAAUGACGGGGCCGCCAGCGGUGACAUGUGUUAUUCGAGCACCGGAAACUACAGCUGGAACUCUUGCAUUCUAGAUAGAAGCUCCCUUCGG
Molecule: ribosomal RNA, 864 nt
Filed under: Bacillus sp. (in: firmicutes)
Lineage: Bacteria; Bacillati; Bacillota; Bacilli; Caryophanales; Bacillaceae
Description: bacterial SSU rRNA
Rfam family: Bacterial small subunit ribosomal RNA
Source: RNAcentral